AACGAACGCUGGCGGCAGGCUUGACACAUGCAAGUCGAACGAGAUCUUCGGAUCUAGUGGCAGACGGGUGAGGAACACGUGGGAACAUCCCUUUCAGUUCGGAAUAACGUUGGGAAACUAACGCUAACACCGGAUACGUCCUUUGGGAGAAAGAUUUAUCGCUGAAAGAUUGGCCCGCGUCUGAUUAGCUAGUUGGUGAGGUAACGGCUCACCAAGGCUACGAUCAGUAGCUGAUCUGAGAGGAUGAUCAGCCACAUUGGGACUGAGACACGGCCCAAACUCCUACGGGAGGCAGCAGUGGGGAAUAUUGGACAAUGGGCGCAAGCCUGAUCCAGCCAUGCCGCGUGAGUGAUGACGGCCUUCGGGUUGUAAAGCUCUUUUGUCCGGGAAGAUAAUGACUGUACCGGAAGAAUAAGCCCCGGCAAACUUCGUGCCAGCCGCCGCCGUAA
RNAcentral lists this ribosomal RNA (449 nucleotides) under uncultured bacterium. RNAcentral's name for it is "partial 16S ribosomal RNA". It matches the Rfam family "Bacterial small subunit ribosomal RNA", at positions 29 to 523 of the family's 1533-position model. The record is from RNAcentral.